RNAcentral lists this ribosomal RNA (560 nucleotides) under uncultured bacterium. RNAcentral describes it as "bacterial SSU rRNA". It matches the Rfam family "Bacterial small subunit ribosomal RNA", at positions 338 to 916 of the family's 1533-position model. The record is from RNAcentral.
CCUACGGGAGGCAGCAGUGGGGAAUCUUAGACAAUGGGGGCAACCCUGAUCUAGCCAUGCCGCGUGAGUGAUGAAGGCCUUAGGGUCGUAAAGCUCUUUCGCCUGUGAUGAUAAUGACAGUAGCAGGUAAAGAAACCCCGGCUAACUCCGUGCCAGCAGCCGCGGUAAUACGGAGGGGGUUAGCGUUGUUCGGAAUUACUGGGCGUAAAGCGCGCGUAGGCGGAUUAGAAAGUUGGGGGUGAAAUCCCGGGGCUCAACCCCGGAACUGCCUCCAAAACUGCUAGUCUAGAGUUCGAGAGAGGUGAGUGGAAUUCCGAGUGUAGAGGUGAAAUUCGUAGAUAUUCGGAGGAACACCAGUGGCGAAGGCGGCUCACUGGCUCGAUACUAACGCUGAGGUGCGAAAGUGUGGGGAGCAAACAGGAUUAGAUACCCUGGUAGUCCACACCGUAAACGAUGAAUGCCAGUCGUCGGAUAGUAUACUAUUCGGUGACACACCUAACGGAUUAAGCAUUCCGCCUGGGGAGUACGGUCGCAAGAUUAAAACUCAAAGGAAUUGACGG